UAGAUACCCGGGUAGUCCACACCGUAAACGAUGAAUGCCAGACGUCAGCAAGCAUGCUUGUUGGUGUCACACCUAACGGAUUAAGCAUUCCGCCUGGGGAGUACGGUCGCAAGAUUAAAACUCAAAGGAAUUGACGGGGGCCCGCACAAGCGGUGGAGCAUGUGGUUUAAUUCGACGCAACGCGCAGAACCUUACCAACCCUUGACAUACUUGUCGCGGAUUCCAGAGAUGGAUUCCUUCAGUUCGGCUGGACAAUGUACAGGUGCUGCAUGGCCGUCGUCAG
RNAcentral lists this ribosomal RNA (283 nucleotides) under uncultured bacterium. RNAcentral's name for it is "partial 16S ribosomal RNA". It matches the Rfam family "Bacterial small subunit ribosomal RNA", at positions 779 to 1058 of the family's 1533-position model. The record is from RNAcentral.